Molecule: ribosomal RNA, 633 nt
Filed under: Lactarius sp. GAL15231
Lineage: Eukaryota; Fungi; Basidiomycota; Agaricomycetes; Russulales; Russulaceae
Description: eukaryotic LSU rRNA
Rfam family: 5.8S ribosomal RNA (bases 216-369)
Source: RNAcentral
GAGGCACGCAAGGGCUGUCGCUGACUUUUGACGCAAAAGUUGUGCACGCCGGAGUGUGUCCUCUCACAUAAAAUCCAUCUCACCCUUUUGUGCACCACCGCGUGGGCACCCCUUCGGGAUCAAACUGAUCCAGGAGGGGGCUUGCGUUUUCACACAAACCCCNUUUUUAAAAAGUGUAGAAUGACCUCAUUUUUGCGAUAACACGCAAUCAAUACAACUUUCAACAACGGAUCUCUUGGCUCUCGCAUCGAUGAAGAACGCAGCGAAAUGCGAUACGUAAUGUGAAUUGCAGAAUUCAGUGAAUCAUCGAAUCUUUGAACGCACCUUGCGCCCCUUGGUAUUCCGAGGGGCACACCCGUUUGAGUGUCGUGAAAAUCUCAACCUUCUCGGUUUUCUUCUGGAUGCCGAGGGAGGCUUGGACUUUGGAGGCCUUUGCUGGCGUCUCUCGCCAGCUCCUCUCAAAUGAAUUAGCGGGGUCCUCUUUGCCGGUCCUCGACAUGUGAUAAGAUGUUUCCAUGUCUUGGUUUCUGGCUCUGUUGCCUUUGGGACCCGCUUCUAACCGUCUCAACGACGAUGUUUGUGAGCGCGUCUCCCUUCUCGGGAAACUCUCUCUCAAACCCCACGAACCCUUGA